GACGAACGCUGGCGGCGUGCCUAAUACAUGCAAGUUGAGCGAUGAAGAUUGGUGCUUGCCCCAAUUUGAAGAGCAGCGAACGGGUGAGUAACGCGUGGGGAAUCUGCCUUUGAGCGGGGGACAACAUUUGGAAACGAAUGCUAAUACCGCAUAACAACUUUAAACAUAAGUUUUAAGUUUGAAAGAUGCAAUUGCAUCACUCAAAGAUGAUCCCGCGUUGUAUUAGCUAGUUGGUGAGGUAAAGGCUCACCAAGGCGAUGAUACAUAGCCGACCUGAGAGGGUGGUCGGCCACAUUGGGACUGAGACACGGCCCAAACUCCUACGGGAGGCAGCAGUAGGGAAUCUUCGGCAAUGGACGAAAGUCUGACCGAGCAACGCCGCGUGAGUGAAGAAGGUUUUCGGAUCGUAAAACUCUGUUGGUAGAGAAGAACGUUGGUGAGAGUGGAAAGCUCAUCAAGUGACGGUAACUACCCAGAAAGGGACGGCUAACUACGUG
Molecule: ribosomal RNA, 497 nt
Filed under: uncultured bacterium
Lineage: Bacteria
Description: partial 16S ribosomal RNA
Rfam family: Bacterial small subunit ribosomal RNA
Source: RNAcentral